CCUACGGGUGGCAGCAGUCGAGAAUCAUUCACAAUGGGGGAAACGCUGAUGGUGCGACGCCGCGUGGGGGAAUGAAGGUCUUCGGAUUGUAAACCCCUGUCAUGUGGGAGCAAAUUAAAAAGAUAGUACCACAAGAGGAAGAGACGGCUAACUCUGUCCCAGCAGCCGCGGUAAUACAGAGGUCUCAAGCGUUGUUCGGAAUCACUGGGCGGAAAGCGUGCGUAGGCUGUUUCGUAAGUCGUGUGUGAAAGGCGCGGGCUCAACCCGCGGACGGCACAUGAUACUGCGAGACUAGAGUAAUGGAGGGGGAACGGGAAUUCUCGGUGUAGCAGUGAAAUGCGUAGAUAUCGAGAGGAACACUCGUGGCGAAGGCGGGUUCCUGGACAUUAACUGACGCUGAGGCACGAAGGCCAGGGGAGCGAAAGGGAUUAGAUACCCGAGUAGUC
This 446-nucleotide ribosomal RNA is filed under the name uncultured bacterium. RNAcentral's name for it is "partial 16S ribosomal RNA". It matches the Rfam family "Bacterial small subunit ribosomal RNA", at positions 338 to 795 of the family's 1533-position model. The record is from RNAcentral.